GCUGGCGGCGUGCCUAAUACAUGCAAGUCGAGCGAACAGACAAGGAGCUUGCUCCUUUGACGUUAGCGGCGGACGGGUGAGUAACACGUGGGUAACCUACCUAUAAGACUGGGAUAACUUCGGGAAACCGGAGCUAAUACCGGAUAAUAUUUCGAACCGCAUGGUUCGAUAGUGAAAGAUGGUUUUGCUAUCACUUAUAGAUGGACCCGCGCCGUAUUAGCUAGUUGGUAAGGUAACGGCUUACCAAGGCGACGAUACGUAGCCGACCUGAGAGGGUGAUCGGCCACACUGGAACUGAGACACGGUCCAGACUCCUACGGGAGGCAGCAGUAGGGAAUCUUCCGCAAUGGGCGAAAGCCUGACGGAGCAACGCCGCGUGAGUGAUGAAGGUCUUCGGAUCGUAAAACUCUGUUAUUAGGGAAGAACAUACGUGUAAGUAACUAUGCACGUCUGACG
RNAcentral lists this ribosomal RNA (456 nucleotides) under Staphylococcus haemolyticus. Its description in RNAcentral is "bacterial SSU rRNA". It matches the Rfam family "Bacterial small subunit ribosomal RNA", at positions 35 to 474 of the family's 1533-position model. The record is from RNAcentral. Lineage: Bacteria; Bacillati; Bacillota; Bacilli; Caryophanales; Staphylococcaceae.